RNAcentral lists this long non-coding RNA (38332 nucleotides) under Capsicum annuum. RNAcentral describes it as "long non-coding RNA (CANN_LNC020228)". The record is from RNAcentral. Lineage: Eukaryota; Viridiplantae; Streptophyta; Magnoliopsida; Solanales; Solanaceae.
UUAGCUUCACGCCUCCUCUGAAGAUGGAUCUUUUCUUUUUCAACCGUGAGUUCCACCGCCUUCUUCUUUGGAUCAUCAACCAGGUGCCAUCUUCUUCAGUAUAAAUAUUAUUACAACCUUAGUUGAAUUAUAUUCCAUUCAAGACAUCAUGAUUUAUUUUCCUUAAUUCUAUUUUAUGAUUAUAUGGACUAAAACGAUCGGCCGAUGAUGCCUACCAGUACGUGUGGUUGUACUGACCCUACUCUUCUACAUACCUUCUUGGGAUGUAGAUUGGAUGCAUGUUAGUUUGCAGUUACUAGAUGGAUGAUGAUAUUCAGCACUAACUUUUGAACUUUCAUCCUGGUAGAUGUUAGAGUCUUUGUAUUAUUUAUUUUAUUGUCUGUCUAUGCUGUAGUAGAUAACUCUUGUACAUAUCUGACGAAGUCUUGGGAUAGUGAAGGACACUUGUAAGAAGUUUUAUUAAAAAAAAUUAUUUAUUAAUAUUUAAUUUACCUUAUUAUGUUUAAUCCAGUAUUCCCUUAAAACAGAAGUCUUCCACAUAUUUUUAGUUAGGUAAUAAAGGUUCUCCUAGCUGCUUAGAAUAGCGUAGAUGUCCGUACGGUCCAGUAGUUUGGAUCGUGGCAUUUUACUUCUUGAUGAAAAUAAAAUAGAAAAAAGCAACAACUAUUAUCAAACGAAUAAUUACUAAAAAGUACAUUCAAAAGGAAGAUAAAUUUAGGAAGUCAUUUAUUAAUAAGCAAUAAUGAAGCCUCUUUUGUAUUACUCAUAUGAUGUAUUUUCUCGAUAGAGUAUCAAAUACACACUAUCAACAUUAAUAAAUUAUAAAAAAAUAAUUUAUUAGAUAAUUAUAUGACAACACACAAUCGAAAAUUGCUACUUUUUUCUGGAAUAAAACAUCAAUAACAUGAAACAUCCUUAAAUUAACAUAACCCUUAAACACAUCUAAAGUCCAGACCAAUAAAUUGAGGCCCUCAACAUUCAACCCUUCCAUCAAUUCCUCAAACAAAUUCAAAAUUUCAAAAAUUAAACUUGUCAAGAAAUGGACCUUGGACCUAACUCAACCUCAAAAGCUAGCUCAUGAGGGGAGAAUUUCCCAAAUCCAUAUGAGGAGACCAAUUACCCAUUCAUUUUUCAAUGUGGGAUACUUAACACUUACUCGCACACUCAGACCUCGUUAACUGGAGCAUGAAAAACAUAAUAUGGGGCCCAACAUUGGUGAAUAAAGAUUUGAGAUGGGCCUGACUCUUAUACCUGUGGGAAAUAUAGGUUAAGAAUAUUAUUGAAUUGUUGUAAUUACAUUAUUACAUUGAGGCUCUAUUUAUAGACACUACAUUUCAAUUCUUUUCCUAAUAGGACACUACAUUACAAUCCCUUUCCAAGUAGGAUUCUAUAUGAUAUUCCUAUUUCUAUUCAUAUUCUAACAAAAUCCUUCUAUCUUAAAUUAAUAGCCUCAAAAAACUAAAGAAUUCCAUUUCAUAUUCAUACCCCCAAUGAUAAAAUAUUAUUAUUAAAGAGAUACAAGUUUAAAUAUUAUAUUUAAAUUCACUUUCUUUUAAUUGACAAAAAAUAAUAAAGCAACAUUAGGAUCCUCCCUUAAGCUAUUCAGCAUUUCAGUAACUCAAUAUGAGUUCACCUCAACGUAUUGUUGGUAAACUUAAUAUUAUUCAUCUAGGUGUUUAUAAUUUGUUAGUUAGAACUAGAAUCUAACAAAAAAAUAUAAAUAAAAAUAUUUUGAUAGUAUUCCAAAAUGAUUGGCACACUUUAAAUCACCGAUUUUAGUAUAAAAACAACUGUACUCAAAUUGUGAAAAUAAGGGUAGAAAAAGCAAAAAAUGAUGAAAGAAAUAGACUUCAUAGAAGUACUAACCUCGUAUAGAAGAGCAAACAAUAUUGGAUUAGGUGGAAGGAAGAAGAAGAUGCGGUGAAAAGCAUCCUUUAUUUUUCAAGGCUAAGUAUAAGAAAAGAAAGAGGCAAAGUGCAGAAUAGAGAGGUAAAGUACGUUGAGAAAUGACUUGAAAAAAAUAUUCUAGCAGGAAUUUGAGGGGUAAUUUUAUCAUUUAAUAAGUUAAUGCUUGUAUUGAAAUAAUUUGUAUUAUUAAUACAUAAAAAAAAAUGGUGUGAAUAAUACAUAGCUUAAUGCACAAUAGAGUGUUUUACCACCAAUGCAAACUUUAGUUAUACAUAGGCACCAAAAAAGUACUAAACAAGAUACUAGUAGUACACAAGAGUAAUUCAUGCAGUGACAGAGCCAAAAUUUUCAUUGAGGGUUUCAAAUCAUAAAAAAUAAACAUACAAAAAAAAAUAAACUUAACUACUAAAAAACAACAGAAUACAUCAUCACAACCAUACUCGACGAGACUUGAGAUGUUUUUGCAAUAGAAUUAUUCAAAAUAUUAAUAGAUACGUCUUUUCUACAUAAGGCAUCAAGCAACCACUCAAAAAUUCAUCAUUCAUAUAAUUUCUCAAAACAUUCUUAAUAAAUCAGUAUAGAAAAGACUCUUUCAAAUGAUGCAGUAACAACCGGUAAAAGCAAAAUAAAUUUUACUAAGCGAAAUACAAGAGAAAAUUUAAGUGCUUUUUGUCUUAACUAGUUUUCUUGAGAGAAACAAAUUCCAUGUAAUUAGAUAACCUUUCAUCAACAUCACGAACAUCAAUAUUAUAACCAGCAAGUUGAUUCUCAAGAGAACUCAUACUAAACCUAUUAAAAUCAUCAGGAUAUAAUUUUGCCAUUCUCAUUAUCUUCCUAAUAUUAAAAUUAGGAAAUGGAUCACUUAAAUUCAAACAAGCAACUCCAUGAAGCAAAUUAAUAGCCACCUCAUUGAAAUGAUCAUUGAGUUUCUGAAGUUUCCAAUCAAUAAUUUUCAAAAUACUUCAGCAUAAUAAAAAUGUAAGAUGGUAUAAUCAACAGGUCUAUGUCGUGAUUUUUCAAAAUUAACACAUUAUAGGUGCAUUUUAAUAGUAUAAAAUAUUAUAUGCAUCAAAUUUAAUUUUCAUUUGAAUAUUAUUGGUCGUUGCACUUCUUCUUUAAUAUUAGUGUCUCAUUAGCCAUUAUGGCCUAUGUUUAAUGUUUGCAGUAAUACACCUAACAUGUGCCUCAUUUGUGCAAUAGUUUUACUAACAUUCUUUAUGGCAUAUUACAUUUACUCCCUCACUUAAAUGGGUUUAAAGAGCAUGAAUGUGAAUUCUUCUUAUGACUGAUAUGGCUAUUAUCUUGUUGUAAGUCUCAUAGUUAUUAGUGUCAUUAGUUUCUUGUAAUAAAUUUUGUAACCUAAGACUAUUGAUCUUUCCUCUUUACUAUCCUUUACUCAUUCUAAUUCGUUAUAAACAUGAAAUAGAGUGCACAAAAGAGAGUAAUUAUAUUAGUGAAAGAGAGAGUUAUGACAAAGAAAGAUAUUUUAAAUCUACUACUAUAUUCACUAUAUAAAAGAGAAUUUUAAUAUGUUGAAGGAAGAUAUGUUUGUGGUGAAGCUUUGAACUCUUUAACUAAUUCAGAGAUACUUGAAUUAUACAUCGUAAUGGGCUGUUGUAUUCUAAGAUACUAUUGGAUUGGUGUAGAUUAUGCCGCAGUAGGCUUGAAUCUCCUUAAAGAGAAUGAGAUAUUCAUGCCUUAGCCUGAAUAUUUAUUUAUUAUUUUUAUUUAAUUUAUUUUUAACUCUAAUUAUUAUAAUUUGGGUAUAUCACAUCAACACAUAUGACUCAUUCAAACAGGUUAUUAAAAUUUUAUAUUUGAUACAAAAUGUAGAUACCUUACCAAUAAGUGCAUCCCAUCCAUCAUCCAUUCGCGUUUACAACCUUCCCUUUGCCAACUAUUAGCAUAUAUAGCAUUUACAAUGUCCUUGUAAGAAUUUAUUAAGCUCAUUUAUGAUUUUUGAGAUAUCUUUCAUAAAGUGCAGUAUAAAGCAAUCGUAAAUAUUUGACAAGCUUAGAGAAAUUUCAUCGUCUUAGCUCUUUUAUAUGUAGAAUAUGCAUCAAUAGCAAGUUCAUAAAGAACAUCAAUAAUAGAGUCAAACAUAAGAAUAAAAUUUCUAAACGAUUUGUGAUGAGAUUUCCAGCGAGAAUCAUUAGUUCUUAUAAGAUCAAAUCUUGAUGCCAUAUCUAAUGUCUCUUGAAUUAUUCCUUUUUAAGAAUCUCAAAAUUCAUUCAUAUUCUUAAAAGAAGCUCCCAACACAUUCAAAAUAUUUGAAACCAAUAAUACAAGGUCCCCACUUGAAUAUAUUUUUUAGAAACGACAAUCAGAGUUAGUUGAAGUUGAUGAGUAAAAUAAUGAAUAAAAUAAGCUAAGAUGUUUUCUUGCCUAAUCAAUAAUUUAAGGUCAUUCAUCUCACAUGUAUAUUGUUAUAUCGGGUUUAAAAAUCCAUAUGUUUCAACUCAAACUUCAAUACUAAGCUCAAGAAUAACUUUUAAGAACUACAGUGAAGUUAUAACAACUUCAAACACAAGUCCACAUGAAUAAUCAAAUAAACUAUCAAAAUGAAGUGUUUAUCAAAUUUAAGGAAAAAGAUGAAGCAAAAAAUUGUAGAAUCCAAGUCCACCGAAUGCACGGUGUGUCCUUAAGAAAAUUAUUUCCCCCAAGUACAUGAGGUUAUCGAAUAUAUCCUCCCAGGAUAAAAUGAAUCACUUCGACAGAAUAGAGGUACCUCAAAUUCUAUCGAACUAUGAAUGGACUCAAUGGAAGCAAAUCAAACAUAAGUUUUAUCAAGAAAGAGGAGCAUUUAUUCUUCAAAAUUUCACGUCUGUACUUGAUGAAAAAUUCAAGUAUUUAUAGCCAUCAAGGUGUAGUUUCAUGAAGAGAAGCUGUAAUACCCCGUAUUUCCCUAGCUUUAUUUAACUCUCAGUACAUGAGUUAUCCUAUAUAAUUUUUCUAAAUACUCAGUAUUUUUUAGUUUAAAGCUUACCACUGUGUAGGAAAUUUAGUCAGUUUUCCAAUGAUAUAAAUUUCUCCAAAUCCUAUAUUCGGGCGAAGAGUUAUAGCAUAUUUUGUAAAACAGUGUGCCAAAUUGGCAAUCAGCGCAUCGCGGAGGUAGUCCAAAUGGAUUGUCAUUUUCCACUGUUCCAUCGCGAUCCCACCAUGUCACACCACCAUCCAUUUUCCCAAUUUUCACUUUCCAGUGUGACUCCGCGAUCAUGGCGUGUCGCGCCAAGGGGUAAAUUCGCAUAUAGUGAAGCUCUGCGAUUGUAUCGCAUCGCGCCAAGCUCCUAGUUCCCAAUUGUCAAUUUCCAGUGACAUGGUGUUAUAGCAUCGCAUCGCACCAGGGGCUUUUUUCAGAAAAUUUUGAUGAAAAUUAAAAGUUUUGUCUAGGGUUAAACUAGUCUUUUCCAUGAUUUUAAUACACCCAAAUAUGGAAUUUAAUCCCUAAAAAUAUUUUAAGCCUAUUCUUUAUUAACUUUUCCCCAAAAUCAACAAGCUCUCUCUCAAUUAGCAAACCUUAAUCUUUAAGAAAUCAAGAGCAAUCCUCAAGAAAAUCACCAAGAGCUUCAAGAAUUAAAAUACCCAGGUAUGUUAGGUGUUCAUCUAUGUUUUCUUUUCACCCAUAGAGUCCUAGAAUCCAUUUUUAAAACUACAAGAUUAUUGAUUCAUGAUUUACAUGCUUGAAGUCGGAUUAUAUUCAUGUUCAUGACAUUAAUUGAGUUUCAAUCCAAGAUUAAUUGUAUAUUCCAUAAAAUUAAAAUAGCAUAUAUAUUGAAUUGUGUAAUACCCAUGUUAUAAUCCUUGAAUUUGUAAGUUUGGGUGUUGUACUUACAAUGUUUACAUGUUGUCCAUGAUUUUAUGCAUUAAGUUGUGCUCCCCAUGUGUUUGAUGGAAUGUCCAUGUGAAUUAAAUGGUGAAAUCAUGACAUGCUAGCAUAUGUAUAAGCUUAUGCCCUACAAGUGUUUGAUAAAAGGUCUCUAUGAAUGAAUUAUAAACAAGUGGACAUUGUUAUGCUUUUCAAGAUUAUGUUAUUCUUUACUUUUCAUGCUAUUGAGUCCUGGGGGUAUUUAAUACCCAAAAAUCUAGUUGUUUAACUAGAGCUACAGUAGUUAUAGAGUAAUCUCAGUCAUGUCACGAAACAGUAGUACUCAGUCAGAACUCAGCGAACUCAGUCCAGUUCAGUCAGUCAGUCAACAUGAUCAGUAAUACUAUAGUAAAAUCCAAUAUAGUCUAGCAAUCAGUCCAUGGUCUAUUCAGUUGGGAGUAGGAUUCAAUACCGAGUAAAUCCAAAGAUGGGGGAUCACCUGCUAGUAGAGGGUGUGAUCCUUAGAUGCAGUCCUUGCAUUCCCAAACUAUGUAGCCAGCGUAGAUUGAGACAUCAACCUGCCAGUUGAGGGUUGAUGAGUUGUUUUAACCUGCCAGUUGAGGGUUCCAUUAUUCUCAUUCGAGUACCUGCUAGAUAAGGGUAACUCUUCAGCUUGUCUGUACCCGUGUCACGGUACUAAUACCCUUCCAACUGAGGUUACAGGUUGGGCCCCAGUUAUUAUAUUUGGGGUAUGUCGGUCAGAUGAUUACCUCCCACAGUCUCAAUUUUAGUCUUAGUAUAUAACUCAGUUCAGUUCUACAGAAUCAGGACUGUCAGAUACAGUCACUCAGCUAUCAGUAAUUCAGUUAUUAGUAAUCUCAGAUAUCAGUUACUUAGUUAUCAAAAAUUAGUACUUAGCUUCAACAAAGGCUCAGAUAUAGUAUAUACGUAUAUGCAUAGUAUUGCAUACUCAGUAUUUACAGUAGUUUUAGUUAUCCAUGUACUCUUAUAUUCAGUUACUCUAUAUCAUUCAGUAAGUUAUUGUUUAUGCAAAUGAACCCUUGCAUUUAACUUUACCUCAUAUAGCAUACCAUUACAUUCCAUGUACUAAUGCAUACUCUUUUCUUGCGUUAUGAUGUGUCAUAUCAUAGGUUAGGACGCUCAGGUUCCUAAUCGUACAUAGAUAGCAACAGUUUUAGUAGCGAGUCCCCAUCUAUCGAGGAUAUGCAUUUACUUCAGUAUUUUUAAUAGCUUCAAUAUUUCUGUAGUCAGAGUUAGUUGGGGGCUUGUCCCAUAAACUCCACAUUCAGACAAUUCAGUUAAAGAAUUUUCAGACUAAACUAGUUUAGACAAUAUUUCAGAUUCAGAUAUUUUAUCAAAUACUAUUAUUUAUCAGUAUUCAGAUUGUGAACCUUAUGGCAUUUUAGCCUAUUAUUCUGCAGUAUUUCAGUAUUAAUAUUUAGUGCUUACAGUAUUACCAGUCAUGGGUUAGCUUAUGGUACUUCGAGGUCAUAAGCAUCAUGUGUCAUUCGGGGUAUAAACUCGAGGCGUUACAAAUUUGGUAUCAAAGCCAAAAGUUCAACAGAGUCCUAGGGAUUCUAAAAGCCACGUCUAGUAGAGUCUUGUGCAUGGAUAUGUAGCGAGCCACACUUAUGGGCACGAGGAUAUGAGACAUUUUUAGGAAAAUUUUCCCUUCUUUCAGUAUUCAUGUCGUGUGAGUGAGCAUGAGCUCUAGUUAAACUCUCAGUCUAAUCCUUUUCUUCCUUCUAUUUAUAGAACAUGCCUCCUAAAAAGACUAACGAAAGAAGAAUAGGAAACCAGUCAGCACCUCAGCUCAUUCAGGCAGAUCCCCUGGGCGUGCAUGUCUCCCAAGCAGAAUUCAAAGUUGCAUUUACUACUCUAGCCAAUUCCAUAGUAGCUCAGAAAAAAUGGCCAACUUCUUUUCAGGCCAAACCAGUGGCCAAUACUACUGCAGCUAAGAUUUGGGACUUCACCCGAAUGAAUCCUCCCCUGUUCUCAGGAUCUAAGACAAAAGAGGAUCCACAAGAGUUCUUCGAUCAGGUUUAAGAAGUUACAGAUAUCAUGGGAGUGACUUCCAAUGAGAGUGCUGAGUUAGCUGCCUAUCGAAUACAAGAUGUAGCUUAUACAUGGUUUAAGUAGUGGAAGGUAGACAGGGGCACAAAUGCAGAGCCCAUGGAGUGGGAAGAUUUUGCUACUGCUUUUCUAGAUAGAUUCUUUCCCUUAGAGCUGAGAGAAGCCAAGGUGUUAGAGUUCAUCAAUAUCAGGCAAGGUAGCAUGAGUGUGAAAGAGUAUUCCAUCAAGUUUAUUCAGUUAGCUAGGUAUGCUUCCCAUGAAGUAGCAGACAGUAGGAAAACAAUGAUGAAGUUCGUAUAUGGGGCAUCAGAAAGUGUGGUUAAGGAGUGCAGAAUAGCAAUAUUAAUUAAAGAGAUGGAUAUAUCCAGGCUUAUUGUCAUACAUAGGAAAUAGAAGAGGCUAAGAAUAAAGAGAGAGAGAGAGAGAGAGGGAAAAUAAGAGAUCUAGAGAAAGUAGCUUUAAUUUUACUCGACCUAAGUCAAAAAGCGGUAAUCGUUCCUAGUUCCAUCCAAAGUCUUUAGUUCUAGCUCCGUCUUCAUCUAGUGCUCCAGUACUUAAGUUCAAAAAUGGUAAUAAAGAUAGGGCACCAGGCUCUAAAUCUCAGGGUAGUGUCAGUAGUGCUCGAACAAAUCCUAUUUGUCAGAAAUGUGGUAGAAACCAUCAGGGCGUCUGUCUAGAUGGCAGUGAUAUUUUUUUUGGGUAUGGCAAUCCAGGACAUAAAAUCAGAGAUUAUCCUAAGUCAAGUUCUCAGGGUUAGUAUAAUCGUCCUUCAGCUUAGUCUGGUCACCUGAAUCAGCAGGGUGACACUUCUAGUGUUAACAAUGGGCAUCACCCAAAUAGGCUUAUGCACUUUAGUCUCGACAAGAUCAAAAAAUUUCUCCUAAUAUGGUCACUAGUAUGUUACAGAUCUUUCAUUUAUAAUUUCUUGCCUUAUUAGAUCUAGGAGCUUCUUUUUCUUUUGAAACUCCUUACAUAGCAGUCAACUUCAAGGUCAAACCAUAAAUCUUAAUAGAACCUUUCUCAGUCUCUACCCCAAUGGGUUAGUCUCAGAGAGUUACUUCAGCAGACUUAGUAGAGUUAUAGAUAACAGAUGUUGAAGUCAUUCUUGGCAUGGAUUGGAUCUAUUCAUGUUAUGCCACAGUUGAUUGUAGAAAUAGAAUUUUUUAUUUUUAGUUUCCAAAUAAACCAGUCCUUGAAUGGAGGGGUAGUACUACAACGCUUAAGGGUCAGUUAAUUCCAUACCUUAGAGCGAGAAGACUAAUAUCCAAGGGAUGUGUCUAUCAUCUUGUGAAAGUCAAAUACUCUAGUUCAGAGACUCCUAGUCUUGAGUUAUUUCUAGUAGUAAAUGAAUUCUCAGAUGUGUUUCCCAAAGAUUUUCCUGGAGUUCCUCCUAAAAGGAAAAUUGACUUUGGAAUAGACCUUAUUCCAGAUACUCAGCCUAUAUCUAUCCCACCAUACAGAAUGGCUUCAACUAAACUCAGAGAAUUAAAAGAACAGUUAAAGGUCUCAGAAUGUGUAUAGACUACUGUCAGUUGAAAAAAGUCAUAGUCAAGAAUAAAUACCCACUUCCUAGAAUUGAUGACUUGUUCGACCCACUUCAGGGUGCUAAUUAAUUUUCUCAGAUAGACCUUAGAUCCAACUAUCAUCAACUCAGAGUCAGAGAAUGUGACAUUCUGAAAACAACCUUCAAAAUUCAAUAUAGUCACUUUGAAUUCCUAAUAUGUUAUUUGGUGUUACCAACGCCCCAACAGCUUUCAUGGACUUGAUGAAUCGAGUGUUUAAGUAGUACUUGGACAUGUUCAUUAUAGUCUUCAUCAAUGACAUUCUUGUCUAUUCCUGUAGCAAAAAUAAUCAUGCAGACCACCUCAAAAUCAUACUUCAGACUUUCAGAGCCCAUCAGUUGUUCACCAAAUUUAGUAAGUGUGAAUUUUGGCUAAGGUUAGUAACAUUCCUUGGUCAUAUUAUUUCUAGUGAUGACAUUAGAGUUGAUCCUCAAAAGAUCAAGGUAGUGAGAAACUCGCCUAAACCCAUUUCUCCAUCAGAUAUUAGGAGCUUCUUGGGUUUAGCUAGCUAUUACUAUCAGUUUGUUGAAGGGUUUUCAUCUAUCGCAUCCCUUAUAUCCAAAUUGACUCAAAAAAAAUUCAAGUUUCAGUGGUCAGAUUCUUGCGAGAAGAGUUUUCAAGAGUUAAAGACUCGACUCAUGUAAGCCCUAGUUUUGACUCUACCAGAUAGUUCAGAAGGGUUUGUUGUGUACAGUGAUACAUCUAGAGUAGGUUUGGAUUAUGUCCUCAUGCAGAAAGGUAAGGUCAUAGCUAAUGCCUCUAGAAAUCUUAAGCCCCAUGAGAAGAAUUAUCCUACCCAUGAUCUUGAGUUAGAAACUGUAUUGUUUGCCUUAAAGAUUUGGAGGCAUUAUUUGUAUGGGGUGCAUGUUGAUAUGGUCACAGAUCACAAAAUCUUACAGUAUGUGUUGUCUCAGAAAGAUUUAAAUCUACACCAAAGAAGGUGGUUAGAGUUAUUGAAAGAUUAUGAAAUUAGUGUUCUGUACCAUUUGAUCAAGGCCAAUGUAGUGGCCGAUGUUCUUAGUAGGUUUUAUAUGGGUAGUGUUGCUCGUGUUGAGAACUGUAAGAAGAAGUUAGCUCAAGAAGUUCAUCAACUUACUCGACUAGUUGUCCUCUUAGUCGAUUCAGCAGACAAUAAUGUAUGGGUGCAAAAUAGUUCAGAAUCAUCUCUAGUUUCUAAAGUGAAAGAAAAGUAGGAUAGGGAUCCCAGUCUAGUUAAGUUGAAAGAGUCAGUUAGAGAUUAGAAAAUAGAGGUUUUCUCCCAAGGGGGAGAUAGUGUGUUGCGCUUCCAGGGUCGGCUAUGUGUGCCAGGUAUAGAUGACUUGAGGCAAUGAAUUCUUUCAGAAGCAUAUAGUACGUGUUACUCAAUUCAUCUAGGGGACACUAAGAUGUACCGCGAUUUGAGGAAGAUUUAUUGGUGGAGUGGGAUAAAGAGAGAUGUUACAGAGUUUGUAGCUAUGUGCUAUACUUGUCAGUAAGUUAAGACUGAGCACCAAAAACCUAGUGGGUCCAUACAGGAGUUCAGUAUUCCCACAUGGAAAUGGGAAGAAGUAAAUAUGGACUUUGUGACGGGUUUGCCUUGAACUCGUCGUUAGCAUGAUUCUAUAUAGCUAUUGUAGAUAGAAUGACCAAAUCAGCUCAUUUCUUUCUAGUUCAUACCUCUUAUUCAGCCAAGGACUAUGCCAAACUCUAUAUCAGAGAGUUAGUCAAGUUACACGGAGUCCCUGUUUACCUCUUAUUUUUGGAAAGCAUUCCAAAAGGAUCUUGGUACCCAAGUCCACCUCAGUAUAACUUUUCCCCCUCGGAUAGAUGGUUAAGCAAAAAGGACCAUUCAGACUCUAUAAGAUAUGUUAAGAUCAUGCGUUGUUAAUUUUAAAUGUAGUUGGGAUUACUACUUGCCUUUGAUUGAAUUUGCUAUAAUAACAACUAUCAUUCAAGUAUUUAGAUGGCUAUGUUUGAAGCUCUUUAUGGUAGGAGAUGUAGAUCUCCAAUUGGUUGGUUCAAGGUAGGUGAGGCCGCAGUGGUCAGACUUGACUUAGUGUUUGAUGCCUUAGAGAAGAUUCAGUUGAUCAGAGAAAAACUUAGGGCAGCCCAAAGCCGAUAAAAAUCAUAUGCAGAUAUGAGGAGAAAAGAUCUUGAGUUUGAGAUUGGUGAUUUUGUGUACUUAAAAGUCUCUCCCAUGAAGGGAGUAAAGUGGUUUGGAAAGAAGGGAAAGAUCAGUCCUCGAUAUGUCGGUCCGUAUAGAAUUCUCAGCUAUUUUGGAAGGGUAGCUUACGAGCUUGAGUUGCCUUCAGCUCUAGCUUUAGUGCACCCAGUAUUCUACCUCUCCUUGUUAAAGAAAUGCAUUGCUGACCCAACAGUCAUAGUUCCCUUAGAGGGAGUAGAUAUUCAGAAUGGUCUCUUUUUCCAAGAGGUUUCAAUCUAGAUCCUCGAUCAUCAGAUUCACAGACUGAGGAACAAAGAAGUUCCCUUGGUCAAAGUUCUUUGGCGAAAUCAGUCCAUUGAGGGAGCUACUUGGGAAGCAGAAGUAGAUAUGCGGACCAAAUAUCCUCACAUCUUCUCCACAAAUCUAGACACAACUUAAGGUAAUAGUAUUCCUUAUUUUUGCUUAGUUACAUGUUCAGUUACAGUUAUAAACUUGGUAUUUCUUACCAUUGCGUAUUCAUUCAUGCAUUCAUGAAUCAGUUCAGCCAUGUACUCAUGCACCAGAUAUGCAUGUUUAGCAUGAAAACUCAGCUUAUCAGUAGCUUCAAUCAUGUAUGACAUACAUCAAAUAUGCAUGUUCAGUAUAUAAACUCAGUCCAUCAGUAUUUCUCAGCUUAAUCAGUCUUAUUCGAGGACAAAAUUUCCCAAGGGGGAGAUAUUGUAAUACCUUGUAUUUCCCUAACUUAAUUUAAAUAUAAGUACAUGAGUUAUCCUAUAUAAAUUUUUCUAAAUACUCAGUAUUUUUUAGUUUAUAGCUUACCACUGCGUAGGAAAUUUAGUUAGCUUUCAAUGAUAUAAAGUUCGCCCAAAUCCGACAUUCGGACGAAGAGUUAUAACAUAUUUUGUAAAACAAUGUGCCAAUUUGGCAAUCAGUGCCUCAUGGAGGCAGUCCAAAUAGCAAUUUUCAUUUUCCAGUGUUCCAUCGUGAUCCCAUCGCAUCGCGCCACCACCAAUUUUCCUAAUUGUCACUUUACAGUGUGAUUCUGCGAUCAUGGAGUAUCGCGUCAAGCGGUAAAUUUGCAUACAGUGAAGCUCUGCAAUUGUACGACAUCCCGCCAAGCUCCCUAUUCCCAAUUGUCAAUUUCCAGUGACACAGUGCAAUAGCGCCGCGUUGUGCCAUGAGGCCUUUUUUGGAAAAUUUUUAUGGAAAUUAAAGUUUCAUCCAGGGUUAAACUAGUCUUUUCCAUGAUUUUGGUACGCCCAGAUAUGGGAUUUAAUCCCUAAAAACAUUUUAAACCCAUUCUUUAUUAAUUUUUCCCCAAUAUCAACAACUUUUCUCUCAAUUAGCAAACCCCAAUCUUCAAGAAAUGAAGAGCAAUCCUCAAGAAAAUCACCAAGAGCUUCAAGAAUUAAAAUACCUAGGUAUUUUAGGUGUUCAUCAAUGGUUUCCUUUCAUCCAUAGAGUCCUAGAAUCCAUUUUAAAACUACCAGAUUAUUGAUUCAUGAGAUUGAAUCAUGAUUAAUCCAUUUUAAUCCAUAUUCAUGAAAUUAAUUAUUUUUCAAUCCAUGAUUAAUUGUAGAAUCCAUGAAAUUGAAAUAGCAUAUAUAUUGAAUUUUGUAAUUCCCAUCUUAUAAUCCUUGAAUUAGCAAGUUUGGGUGUGGUAGUUACAAUGUUUACAUGUUGUCUAUGAUUUAAUGCAUUAAGUUGUGCUCCCCAUGUGUUUGAUGGAAUGUCCAUGUGACUUAAAUGUUAAAAUCAUGACAUGCUAGCAUAUGUAUAAGCUUAUACCCUACAAGUGUUUGAUAAAAGAUCUCUAUGAAUGAAUUAUGAACAAGUGGACAAUGUUAUGCUUUUCAAGAUCAUGCUAUGCUUUACUUUUCAUGCUAUCGAGUCUUGGAGGUAUUUAAUACCCAACAAUCUAGCUAUUUACCUAUAGUUACAGUAAUUACAGAUUAUUCUUAGUCAUGUCAUGAAAUAGUAGUACUCAGUCAGUUACAGAACUCAAUAAGCUCAAUUCAGUUCAGUCAGUCAGUCUACACGAUCAGUAAUAGUUCAUUCAAAAUCCAAUACAGUCUAGCAAUGUAACGCCCUAAGUCUAGUACCCUGGAUGCUACACGGUGCUAAUAAUACUAAAGGACCACUAGCUAACCCAUGACUGAUAUCUGUAACUGAGCACUAGAUAAUAGUAAUAUUGAAAUAAUAAUAUAACUGAAAUAAAUGCGGAAAUCUGGCGAAAAACUUGCCAUAAGGUUCAAAUACAAAACAAUACUAAAUAAAAUAAUGUGUGAACAAGGUAUGAUAAUACCAAGACUGAAAUAACUGUUUGAUCAUGCUAUAGUCUGAAAGCCUCUAAACUGUCUGAACUGCAGAGUUGAUGGGACACAUCCCCAACUAAAUCCAUCUAAUGAAAAUAACUAAGUACAUAACUACUAAAAGAAUGAAAUAAUCAUGUCCUUGGAAUAUGAGGACUCACUACUGACUUUGACUGCUAAUAUCUGAGCUGCUAAGCGCGAUUUAGAACCUUAGCAUCUGAACCUAUGGUAUAAAAUACCAUAGCGCAAAAGAAAAGUAUGCGUCAGUACGUGAGAAUGUACUGGUACGUAAAGUGAGGUAAGGAUGAAUUCAAGGGUUCAUAUGCAUGAACUACACUGACUGAAUAACAUAAACAUGACUACGUGAGGAUACAUGCAUGAAUACAUAACUAUAACUAAAAUCAUAAGAAUUCUAAAUACUGAGUUUUCUAAUAACAUGGAUUACUAAUAACUGAUAUAACUAAUAACUGAGUGACUGUUUCUGACAGUCCUGAUUCUAAUAGAACUAGCGGAGUUCCAUACUAAGUUUAGUGGCUAUAUCUAACAGUCGAAAAAAUCUAUAGAAUUAUCUGAGUUAUUUACUGAAGAUUGAGACUGAGACUAUGGGACGUAGUCAUCUAACUGAUAUGCCCCAAAUAAGGUAUUAUAACUGAGUUGGGGUUCAAUCUGUAACCCCAAUUAGAAGGGUAUCAAUACCGCGCCAUUGGUAAGGACAAGUUUUAAGUGACCCUCAUCUAUUAAGUACCCUAACAAGAAUGGUGGGACCCUCACCUAACAGGUUAAGCUACCUUAUCAACCCUCAUCUAGUAGGUUAGAUGUCUCAACCUACGCUAUCUGUGUAGUUCUAGAAUGCAAGGAUUGCUUCUAAGAAUCACACUCUCUGUUAUCAGGUGAGUUCCCAUCCUUGGGUUCACUCGGUGCUGAAUCCUACGCCCAUUUGAAUAGACACUGAACUAAGUAUAUCAGACAUAACUGGACUUAGUUCAUUGAAUUUCUUUGAUUGACAGAAUAUUACUAAAUUCUGAUAACUGACUGAGCUACUGAGGAUUGAACUGAAUACUACUGAGUUUUUCCUAAGUUCUGAGAUUGAAUGAAUUCUAUUAAUCGUGGCUUGACUGAGAUUAUCUUGAAAACUGACACUGGCUCUAGGCAGACAGCUAAAUUGUUGGGUAUUAAAUACCCCCAGGACUCGAUAACAUAAAAAUAAAUGGGACAUGACACUUCUUGAACACAUGACCACAGUCAACAAUUCAUAUACUAUCAUUGAGGGAUUUCAUGAAACAUUGCAAGUCAUGAGCUUACACAUUAAUAGGAACGCAUGCUAAUAUAUCAUAAUUUCACAAAUCCAUACUUAUGUGCAUUCCACCAAAUCAUUACAAGAGAUAGAUAUAGCAUGAGAGUCAAUUUGAACAUGUGGGUACAUCAUAAGUUCAUCAUAUAGCUCACAAAUAGGUCAUAAUGCACAAUUCUUAUUCAUUUAGGCAUUUUAACAAACACUUGGAACGCAUAACCUUUUCUAGGGCUUGAAUCAACAAUUAAUACAUCAUGUUCAUACCAAGCACUUCAAAUUUAAGGAUUUCAAUGCACAUACUAGCAUGAAUUCAUGAGAAUUCAAUAAAGAUUCAAUCUUGGAAAUCAUAUCACAACAUAAACAUGUGUAUAAUCAAACCCACAGUAUGGAAUUCAAAAUUCAUAUUUUGUAAAGGAUUUCUUGAGUUCAAAGGGUGAAAGGGACACUUGGAUGAACACUUUACAUACCUUGGUUGACAAAUUUCUUAAAGAUUAAUGAAAGAAAACUUAAUCACCUAGGGUUUCUUGUUGUUGAGCACUUGUGAAAUAAUGAAUGUAUUUAUCCUAAAAAGGGCUAAAUUUCAUGUUAUAAAGGUUGAAGGUCAGGGGAAAAUAACCUGAUUACCCUUAAGGAGGUGAUCAUUUAAUGACAAAAACUGGGCACUAACGCAUUUGGCGAUGUGGUGCAUCGAUGGUAUCAAUGCGAUACUCGAAGCAUCAUGCCAUGAUCGUGCCAUGUCUCAAUACUUUUGACUGGCAACCUGGAACAAUAUUAACCAAUGCGAUGGGUGACAUGGCACACCAAGAUUGUAUUGGUACACUAUUUUAGACUUCCAAAUAUGGUCUAAAUGAGGUCCGAAAAAUUUGAAACUUGUCCGGGAAUACCUAUUGACCUUCCUGAUCAUGAAUUAACAAAAAUAUAGACCCUUAAAGGAUAUUAAGGUCGUGAAAUGAGAUUGCCAACUUUCAAAGGCUAAGAAAUAAACUAAGUCUGGAAACUUAGCUUGAAUUUUUCUAAGUCUAGGUCCCCUUGACAAGCUUAAAGGACUGAAUUAAGCAAGGAAUUUCAUGGGGUCUUACAAUAUCUCCCCCUUGGGAACAUUUGUCCUCGAAUGAGACUGACUAAGAUGGAAGAAAUAAUAAGCUGAAGCACAUACUGAACAUGAACAACUGGAACAUGAUUACAUGACUGACAUUACUGAUUUACUAAGAUUCAUACUGAGCAUGCAUAUCUGAUGAAUAAUUUCAUGACUGAUCUAAUACAUGAAUGAAUGACUAGGUGUAGUGAUAAACUGAUCAUGCAUAUCUGAUGGAUAAAUACAUGACUAAACUGAUUCCUGAACAUACGACUGAACAUGUAAUGGUAAAAGAUACCAAGUUUGAAAUAGAAAACUGAGCAUGAAACUGAAUACUAAGUUUGUAACUAAAAUCUGAACAUGAAAUAAAAUAAGCUUAAGGAAAGCUAUUACCUUGGGCUGAGUAUGAAUUUAUGGAGAAGAGGUGAGGAUACUUGGUUUGCAUGUAUACUUUUUCUUCCUAAGGAGCUACCUCAACGGACUGAUUCAGACAAAGAACUUUAAGUAGAAAGUCUUCUUUGUUACUCAGUCUACGGGUCUGAUAGUCAAGAAUUUUGACUGAAACUUCUUCGUAAGAGAGACUGUGUUGAAUAUCUAUGCCCUCAAUAGGGACUACUAAUGCUGGGUCACAUAUGCACUUCUUAAGCAAGGAGACAUGGAAUAAUGGAUGACUAAAGCUAGAUCUGAAGGUAACUCGAGCUCAUAAGCUACUUUACUAAAGAGACUGAGAAUCUUGAAGGGACCAACAUAUCAGGGACUGAGCUUUCCCUUAUUAUCGAACCUCUUCACUCCCUUCAUGGGAGAGAUUUUCAGGUAUAUAUAAUUACCAAUAUUGAACUUGAGAUCCUUUCUACGUAUAUCUGCAUAUGAUUUCUAUCGGCUCUGAACUAUCUUUACUAAAUUGGGAUCUAUAUCCUACUUUUCCUUUACCUUGAAAACUAGAAAUGAUUCUGAACUAGUCUGUAUCCAUAUACCACCUUCUGCCAAAUCGACUAACCGAACACCUAGUCUGGCUAACUGAUGAACUUCCUGAGAUAACUUUUUCUUACUAUCCUCAACAUGAGCAACACUACCCAUAGACAAUCUACUGAGAGCAUUAGCCACUAGAUGAUAAAGGACAUUCAUGUCAUAAUCCUUCAAGAGCUCUAACCAUCUUCUCUGACAGAGAUUAAGAUAUUUUUGUAAGAACAUAUACUAGAGGCUUUUUUUAUUCUGUGAACACAUCUACAUGCACCCAAUACAAGUAGUGUCGUAGUGCCUCCAAAUUUUUAUGGCAAAGACUACUGCUGCUAACUCAAGAUCAUGAGUCGGAUAAUUCUUCUCAUGGGGCUUAAGCUGUCUGGAGGUGUAGGCUAUGACCUUACCACGAUGCAUAAGUACAUAACCCAAACCUGCCCUAGAUGCAUCACAGUACAUGACAUACCCAUCUAAACAUAGGGGAUGUAAUAGACAAAAAUCCUAAAACUCUUCUCGUAUGAAUCUGACCACUGGAACUUGACUUUUUUCUGAGUCAAUCUGGACAUAAAGGAUGCAGUAGACGAAAAUCCCUCAAAAAAUCAUCUGUAACAUCCAUUCAAACCCUAGAAAUUCCUGAUAUCUGAUGGAGUGAUGAGUCUAGUCUAAUUUCUUACUGCCUUGGUGUUUUGAGAAUCAACUCUAAUGUCAUCACCAGAAAUAAUAUGACAAAGAAAUGCUACUGACUUUAGCCAAAAUUUGCACUUAUUGAAUUUGGCGAAUAAUUGAUGAUUUUUGAGAAUCUGCAAUACUAUUCUGAGAUGGUCUGCAUGAUUAUGCUUACUACAAGAAUAGACAAGAAUAUCAUCUAUGAAGACUAUGACGAACAUGUCCAAGUACUGCUUGAACACACGGUUUAUCAAGUCCAUAAAAGCUGCUGGAGCAUUGGUAAGACCAAAUGACACGACUAAGAAAUCAAAGUGAUCAUACCAAGUUCAAAAGGACAUUUUUGAAACGUCACAUUCUCUGACUCUGAGCUGAUGAUCGCCUAAUAUAAGGUCUAUCUUAGAGAAAUAACUGGCACCCUGGAGUUGGUCAAACAAGUCAUUGAUUCUGGAAAGUGGAUACUUAUUCUUGACUGUGACCUUAUUGAGUUGAUGAUAGUCUAUGCACAUUCUGAAAGAACCAUCUUUCUUGUGUAUGAAUAGAAUAGGUGCACCCCAUGGAGACACACUGGGUCUGAUGAAUCCCUUAUCUAGGAGAUCCUUUAAUAUCUCUUUUAAUUCUCUGAGUUCUGCUGGUGCUAUUUUGUAUGGCUGAAUUGAUAUGUGCUGAGUAUCUGAAAGAAAAUUGAUACCGAAGUUUAUUUCCCUUUCGAGAGAAAUUUUGGGAAGAUCCUCUGGAAACAAAUCUGAAUAUUCAUUCACUACUGGGACUGAUUCAAGACUGGGAGUUUUAGAACUAGAGUCUUUAACUCAAACAAGAUGAUAGACACAUCCCUUAGAUAUCAUUUUUCUUGCCCUUAGGUAGGUAACAAGCUGCCCCUGAAGGCUGAAGUAUUACCCCUCCACUCUCAGAUAAGUUCAUUCAAAAACUAUAACUAAUAACUCUAUUUCUAUAUUCGACUGUGGAAUACCAGGAAUAAAGCCAAUCCAUACCAAAGAAGACAUCAAAAUCAGUCAUCUCUAAUUCAACUAAGUCUGUUGAAGUGACUUUUUGAGAUACCAAAAUCGACUAGUUCCUGUAUACCCGUGGGGCUAUGAUAGUUUUACCCACAGGGGUAGAGACUAAGAAGGGCUCUGCUAGAAUUUUGGGACUAACUCCAAAAUCAACUGCUAUAUAAGGAGUAACAAAAGACAAGAAAGCUCCUAGAUUUAGUAAAGCAUAAAUAUAUAUAUGAAAGAUCUCUAACAUACCAGUGAAAACAUCAGGAGAAUUCUCCUAGUCCUAUCGGGACAGAAGAGCAUAAAGUUUAUUUGGGAAUUUCCCACUGGUAGCGCUGGAAGUGGCACCCUGCUGGUUCGAGCGACCAAACUGAGCUGAGAAACGGUUAGGCUGACCCUCAAAACCUGACUUAGGACAAUCUCUGAAUCUAUGUCCUGGCUUACUCAUCCUAAACAAAUAUCACUACCAGCUUUGCAAAUACCCUGAUGGUGUUUGCCAUAAGUCUGCCAAAGAGGAUGAGUUCGGGCACUGCUAAUACUGCUCUGAGACUUAGAGCCUGGAGCCCUAUCUUCGUUACCAUUCUUGAACUUAGGAACUAGCUGAGAAAGGAGAUGGAAGUGAGGACUUUGGGCAUAACUAAUAAUGAUUCCCACCCUUUGACUUAGGCUGACCAAAAUUAAAGCUACCUAUUUUAGCUCUCUUAUUCUAUUUUUCUCUUUCCUUAUUCUUCUGCUCCUCUAUCUGCUGAGCAUAGAUCAUGAGCCUAGCCAAGUCCAUCUCACUAAUCAACAUCACAGUCCUGUACUCUUUGACCACACCAUCAUUCACUCCAGACACAAACUUACUCAUUCGAGAUCUGAUAUCUGCCACCACAUAAGGAGAGUAUCUAGCUAGUUGAGUAAACUUAAGAGAAUACUCUUUCACUGUCAUAUUGCCCUGCCUGAGGUUAAUAAAUUCUAACACCUUAGCUUCUCUCAGCUCUAGGGAAAAGAAUCUAUCUAGAAAAGCGGUGGCAAACUCCUCUCAAUCAAUACACCCUGUAUUUAUAGCCCUCUUUGAUUUCCACUAAUUGAACCAAGUGUGAUCCAUAUCCUACAACUGAUAUGCAGCUAGCUCAGCACUCUAGAUAGUAGUCACUCCCAUAAUAUCAGUAAUCUUCUGUACCUAAUCAAGAUAAUCUUAAGGGUCCUUAGCUAUUUUAGACUUGGAAAAAAUGAAGGAUUCAUUUGGGUAAAGUUUCGAAUCCUAGUUGUAGCAGAAUUAGCCACUGGGUUAGCCAAAAUGAUAGUUGAAGAUUAGUUCUAGGCCACAACUGAAUGAGAAAGAGUAGUGAAUGCAGCUCUGAAUUCUGCAUGGGAGACAUGUUCGCCUAAAGGAUUAGACUGAUCGGGUUGAAGGGUUGGCUGAUCUCCUAUUCCUCUUCCCUGAGUCCUCUUUGGAGGUAUUUUUUCUAUAGAUGGAGGAGAAAGAAGAAUUAGACUGAGAGUUUAACCAGAGCUCAUACUCACACAUACAAUAUGAAUACUAAAAGAAAGGAAACUAUUUCUAAAACAUCUCAUAGCCUCCUGUACUUAAAUAUGGUGCACUACACACCCAUGCAUAAGACUCUACUAGAUGCGGAUUUCAGAAUUCCUAGGAUUCUAUUGAAUCUUAGGCUCUGAUACCAAGUUUGUAACGCCCUGAGUCAGAACCUCGGAUGCUACACGGUGCUAACAAUCCCAAAGAACCACUAGCUAACCUAUGACUGAUAUCUGCAACUGAGCACUAGAUAAUAGUAAUAUUGUAAUAACAAUAUAACUGAAAUAAAUAUGGAAAUCUGGCGAAAAACUUUCCAUAAGGUUCAAAUACAAAAUAAUACUGAAUAAAACAACUUCUACACAAGUUAUGAUAAUACCAAGACUAAAAUAUCUAUCUGAUCAUGGUAUGCCUGAAAGCCUCUAAACUGUCUGAACUACGAAGUUAAUGGGGCAUGUCCCUAACUAGGUCCAUCUUCUGAAAAUAACUAAGCAUUGAAAUACUAAAAUAAUGAAAUAAUUAUGUCCUCAGAAUAUGAGGACUCACCACUGACUCUGACUACUGAUAUCUGAGCUGCUAAGAGUGAUCAAGAACCUGAAUGUCCGAACCUAUGGUAUAAAACACCAUAGCGCAAGAGAAAAGUAUGCAUCAAUACAUAAGAAUUUACUGGUACGCAAAGUGAGGUAAGGCUAAAUGCAAGGGUUCAUAUGCAUAAACUACACUAACUGAAUAACAUGAACAUGACUAUGUAAGGAUAUAUGCAUAAAUACAUAAUUAUAACUGAAAUCAUAAGGAUUCUAAAUACUGAGUUUACUGAUAACAUGGAUUACUGAUAACUGAUAUAACGGAUAACUGAGUGACUCUGUCUGAUAGUCCUGAUUUUAAUGUAACAAGCUGAGUUUCAUAGUAAGAUGAGUGACUAUAUUACCCAGUCUUGAAAUCUAUAGAACUAUCUGAGUUCUUUACUGAAGACAGAGAUAAAGACUGUGGGAGGUAGUCAUCUAACCGACAUGCCCCAAAUAAGGUAUUAUAAUUGAGUUGGGGUCCAAUCUGUAACCCCAAUUGGAAGGGUGUCAAUACCGCUCCACUGGUAAGGACAAGCUAUGAGUGACCCUCAUCUAUCGGGUGCCCUAACGAGAAUGGCGGGACCCUCAUCUAACAGGUUAAGACAGCUUAUCAACCCUCAUCUAGCAGGUUAGAUAUCUCAACCUAUGCUAGCUACAAAGUUUUAGAAUGCAAGGAUUACUUCUAAGAAUCACACCCUCUGCUAUCAGGUGAGUUUCCAUCCUUGGGUUCACUCGAUGCUGAAUCCUACUCCCAUCUGAAUAGACACUAAAUUGAGUAUACUGAACUGAACUGGACUGAUUAUACUAAGUUCUAUUGACUGAUGGAAUAUUAUUAAAUUCUGAUAACAGACUGAGCUACUGAGGACUGAACUGAAUACUACUGAGUUUUUCCUAAGUUCUAAGAUUGACUGAAUUCUAUUGAUCUUGGCUUGACUGAGAAUAUCUUAAAAACUGACACUGGCUCUAGGCACACAGCUAAAUUGUCUCAUAUUAAAUACCCACAGGACUGAUAGCAUGAAAAUAAAUGGGACAUGACAUGUCUUGAUCACAUGACCAUAAUCAACAAUUCUUAAUACUAUCAUUGAGGAAUUUUAUGAAGCAUUGUAAAUCAUGAGCUUACACAUGAAUAAGAAUGCAUGCUAACAAAUCAUAAUUUCACAAAUCCAUACUUAUUACACCAAAUCAUUACAAGAUAUAGCUAUAGCAUGAGAGUCAAUUUAAAAUGUGGGUACAUCAUAAAUUCAUCAUAUAGCUCACAAAUAGGUCAUAAGGCACAAUUCUUAUUCACUUAGGCAUUUUAACAAACACAUGGAAGGCAUAACCUUUUCUAGGGCAUGAAUAAAAAACUAAUACAUCAUGGACAUAUCAAGCACUUCAAAUUUAAGGAUUUCAAUCCACAUAUUAAUAUAAAGUCAUGAGAAUUCAAUAAAUAUUCAAUCUUGGAAAUCAUAUCACAACAUAAACAUGUGUACAAUAAAACCCACAACAUGGAAUUCAAAAUUCAUCUUUUGAAAAGGGUUUCUUGAUCUCCAAGGGUGAAAGGGACCCUUGGAUGAACAUUUUACAUACCUGGGUUGACAAAUUUGUUGAAGAUUAAUGGAAGAAAGCUUAAGUUCUUGAAUUGAAAUUAAUCACUUAGGGUUUCUUGCUCUUGAGCACUUGUGAAAUAAUGAAUGUAUUUAGCCAAAAGAAUGCUAAGUUUUGUGUUAUAACGGCUAAAGGUCACAGAAAAUGACCUGAUUACCCUUAAGGACGCGGUCAUUUAAUGACUAAAACUUGGGACUAGCACGUUUGGUAAUGCGGUACAUCGAUGGCAUUGAUGUGAUACUCGAUGCGUCAUGCCAUAAUCACGCCAUGUCUCAGUGUUUUUGACUGGCAACUUAGAACAAUAUUAACCAAUGCAAUGGGUGACACGGCAUGCCAAGAUCGCACUGUUCAACUAGUUUGGACUUCCAAAUGUGGUCUAAACUUGGUCUGAAAAAUCCAAAACUUGUUCGGGAACACCUAUUGACCUUCCUAACCAUGAAUUAACAAAAAUAUUUACCCUUAAAGGACAUUAAGGUUGCGAACUAAGAUUGCCAACUUUCCAAGGCUAAAAAAUAAACUAAGUCUAGAAACCUAGCUAGAAUUUUUCCAAGUCUAGGACCCCUUGAUAAGCUUAAAGUACUAAAUUAAGCUAGGAAUUUUUUGGGGUCUUACAAGCAAUCAGUCUAUGGUCUAUUCAACUGGGAGUAGGAUUCAACACUGAGUGAACCCAAAGAUGGGGUCUCACUUGCCAGUAAAGGGUGUGAUCCUUAUAAGCAGUCCUUGCAUUCCAAAACUACAUAGCCAGCAUAUGUUGAUACAUCAACCUGCUAGUUGAGGGUUGAUGAGGUGUUUUAAACUACUAGUUGUAGGUUUCACCGUUCUCAUUAGAGUACCUACCAGAUGAGGGUAACUCCUUAUCUUGUCUUUACCCAUGGCACGAUAGUAAUACCUUUCCAAAUAGGGUUACAGGUUGGACCCCAGUUAUCGUAUUUGGGGUAUGUCGGUUAGAUGAAUACCUCUCACAGUCUCAGUUUCAGUCCCAGUAUAGAACUCAGUAUAGUUCUAUAGAAUUAGGAUUGUUAGAUACAGUUACUCAGCUAUCAAUAAUUCAGUUAUCAGUAAUCUCAAAUAUCAAUUACUAAGUUAUCAGAAAUCAGUACUUAGCUUUAGUAAAAGCUCAGAUACAGUAUACACGUAUAUACACAUUAUUGCCUACACAGUAUUUACAGCAGUUUCAGUUAUCCAUGUACUCUUAUAUUCAGUUACUCUAUAUUAUUUAGCCAGUUAUUGUUCAUAUAUAUGAACUCUUGCAUUCAGCUUUACCUCAUCUAGCAUACUAGUGCAUUCCAUGUAUUGCCUCAUACUCUUUCUUUGUGAUAUGAUGUCUCAUAUCAUACAUUCAGACGCUCAGGUUCCUAACCAUGCAUACACAUAUUUAAUUAUCAGUAGCAAUUUCAGUAAUGAGUCCUCAUCUAUUGAGGAUAUGCAUUGACUUUAGUAUUUUCAGUAGCUUCAGCAUUUCAGUAGUCGGAGUUAGUUGGGGGCUUAUCCCAUCAAAUCCAUAUUCAGACAGUUCAGUUAGAGGCUUUUCAGACUAGACUAGUUCAGGCAGCAUUCAGAUUCAAAUGUUUUAUCAAAUACUAUUAUUUAUCAGUAUUCAGAUUAUGAACCUUAUGGUAUUUUAACCUAUUAUUCUAUAUUAUUUUAGUAUUAUUAUUCAGUGCUCAUAGUAGGUACCAGUCAUGGGUUAGCUUGUGGUCUUUUGGGGUCGUAAGCACCGCGUGUUAUCUGGGGUACAGACUCGAGGUAUUAUAGAAGUGAUGGUUCAGAAAGAUGCACCCUUUCAUAAAGGUGCAACUUUUCAAAAAAGUCACAACCCUCUGGAAAGGUCAUAACAAUCCAAUCCGAAAGGUGCCAAUUUAAAUUACAUCCUUUCUCUAAGUGUCUUUUCAAAAAAAACACCUAUUCAUUUUUCAUUCACACCUAUUGAAAAUCCAACACAUAUUACUUUCCCCAUUGUAAAAUUAUACACAUACAUAAGAUAGAAUCAAUAAACGAAAAAGGUACUUAUAUACCCCUAAACUUUAAUAAAUGGUACAAAUAUACCCUCUGUCAUACUUUGGGUACAAAUAUACCCUUGUCAUUAAUGAAUAGGUACAAAUAUACCCUUACACUUUAAUAAAUGGUACAAACAUAUCCUCCAUCAUACUUUGGGUACAAAUAUACCCUUUUUGUUAAUGAAAACUUACAAAUAUACCCUUCUUAUUAACUGCGGGACAUAUGUUAGCAUCGUAUUAGUUGGCCCUUUUUAAUCUAUUUUAUCUAUGAAUAAUUUCAUUCAUCCUAAAUUAUUACCCAUAUUCAAUCCAAAUAACUCGAUCUAACCUUGUGAUUUAAUGAGGACCUUGGUUUGGCCAUGGAAUGUCCAAACUUUGCAAGUUUUUUUUAUGUUUCUGUUCUUAAAUUUCUCUCUUUGAAGUUGCUGAGCAAUGGUGUAACAAUGAGUUUAAAGCAUGUAACAACAACCAUGAAUCAAAAACAGUUUUUAAUUCUUCGACGUUCAUAAAUCAGAAAAAACAAACAACAAUUAUUCAUGAGGACAUUAGACAACAUCAAAAUAUUAAUCUAACAUCAGAAUAUUAAACAACAUCACAAUAUUAAACAAAUCUCUACUCGAUUCCUGAUGGUAGAUAAUCAAAACAUGAAUCAAACCGAUGUAUUUGUUAGGGGUUUUUGGGUUAUUAAGAGUGUAUGAGUGUAAGAGAAUGGAAGAAAGAAAUUAGUGUGACUAAAGAUGCAUGAUAUGUCUCUUGAAGCUUCUUUAUUACACGGGUUGGGUCGGAUCGGGUUAUUUGGGUCGGGUAUGAGUUAUAAUUUAGGAUAGAUUAAAUUAUUCAUAAAUAAAAUAAAUUUAAAAGGUCCAACCAAUACAAUGCUGACAUGUGUACCAUCAUUAAUGAGAAGGGCAUAUUUGUAUUUCAUUAAUGAAGAGGGUAUAUUUUUACCCAACAUAUGAUGGAGGGUAUAUUUAUACCAUUUAUUAAAGGUAUAGGGUAUAUUUGUACCUUUUCAUUAACGACAAGGGUAUAUUUGUACCCAAAGUAUGACAGAGGUUAUAUUUGUACCAUUUAUUAAAGUUCAAGGGUAUAUUUGUACCUUUUCAUUAACGACAAGGGUAUAUUUGUACCCAAAGUAUGACAGAGGUUAUAUUUGUACCAUUUAUUAAAGUUCAAGGGUAUAUUUGUACCUUUUCAUUAACGACAAGGGUAUAUUUGUACCCAAAGUAUGACAGAGGUUAUAUUUGUACCAUUUAUUAAAGUUCAAGGGUAUAUUUGUACCUUUUUCGAUCAAUAAAUAUUGAACAAGUAAAUUGAUAAUUAUGAUUUUCAAAGACUAAGCACUCGCAUCUCGUAUAUGAACAAUAUCAAUCAAUCACUCCAUUUCAAAUCUCAUUAUAUCACCAUAUCAUAAAACAAUAGUCAUUUGUUCCUCAUGAAACAUCAAUAGGUUCAUCAACUAAUAAGGUGAAAUAAUCACAAUUUCAUUCCUCAAUAAUAGCUUUGAUGGUUUCUAUAUUACAUGCUGCCACAACAUCUUUUUGAAUCAUUGGAUAAGUAAUUUGGUAAUUCCAAGGAGCACGUUCUAACACAUCAUCAUAAAUUUUAUCACAAUGCUUCACAUAUCAUGAGAGAAUUUCAAGAAAAUUACCCUGUUAGAUUCAUCGUGACCUCGAAAAGCAAAAUUCUUAUUAUAUCAAUUGAAGUAGACAAAUGAAGUCAAUACUCAUGCUUAAAUUGAUUAGAUUAUUUUUUAACGCAGAUAAAUAGAUUUUUUUGUUGCACCAACUCUUCACUUUUCUUUUUACUUGAUUAUAAAUGUUAUUAGGCCCACCAAUAUAUUGUUUAAAACUACCCAUCUUAUUCAGCUAUUAAAUCAUAUUUUUAAAAAUAAUUCACCUUCAUAUUGAUAAAUAUUAUCAUCUUUAAAUAAAUCACAAUAUAAAUAAUAUGCGGCACUCUUCUUAUACUAUACUCCAAUUAGUCAUGAUACUCUUUAAAUCAUUCCGAAUUAAAACAACACAUAUCUCCAUAAAUGUUUAUUUGGGGAAAGAUAUAAUUAUUAGUUGACAAAGACCUUCCCAAAUGUAUGUUCUCCUACUUUCAUCACGAUCAUUUAGAUAAUAGUCUAAGACUAAUUUUCUUUGGUCAGAUCAAACUCUAAAGAAUCUAAAUCGACUUCUUGUUUUUGAGAAAAAUAUAAUCAGUCCAAAUAAGUUGAUUAUGAGAGAUCAAACUAUAUUAUGGUACUUUGAAAAAAUACUUCUUCAAUUACGUUUGAGAUGAAAUUAUACAAUAAAAAUUUAGUUAGAAAUAUAUCUAACAAAACUUUGUUAACUAAUAUUUUGAUUACUAGUUUUGCAACAAAAGAGAGAAUUUAGAGAUCUAACCAACAAAAAAAUGUAAAUAAAAAUUAGAGGAUAAAGAAAAAAAUAAACUUACCAAUGUAACAGACAACAACUAAAGACCUACAAAGAUGAAUGGAUGGCAAGUGAAAUGAUGAACGACGGACGUUCGCGACGAUUGAUGGUAAGUAGUGACUGACAGGAGAAAAUAGAAGGAAAGGUGUCUUUUAAGUCUAGAAUGACGGAUUGGUGACAUUGACCAACUUAAAGGGUCAAACAUAAUUAAGAAACUUGAUUUAGUUAAUUAUGAACUUGGUUAAUAUUUUCAAAAUUUUCUAAUCUUUCAAAAAUACAAAACAACCCACACCCUUCUCCUCUCCAAAUUAAUCGUCUUUCUCCCCACUCGCUCCACCAGUUUCUCUCAAACUUCUCCCAACCAACAAUUUUGUAAAUUUCUUCCUUUAAUCCCCAGUGACUUAAACCUCCGAUGACAAAUAGUUUCGAGUUUCUUUUCGACUUUCAACCAUCAAUCAGCGUGACAAUAUUCUCCAGUGAUAAUAACUUUGAGUUCUUCAUCAGCCCUUUUCGACUUUCACAGGUAAAAAAUAUUUUUAAUUAUGAAUAAAAAGAGAAAUUUGAGUCAACUACUUUUCUAGUAUUGAUUAAAAAUUUUAAUAUUUGUUACGUAAAUUUGAAAUAGAGACUCAAGAAAAUCCUAAUUUGUGGUAUUUAUUCUCUUCUCUUUUUAAAGUGAAAUAUGAUUUUUUUGUUGUUACUGUAGUUCUUGUUCUCAAACUGUUGAUUCGAUUUGUUGGUGUUUAUUGUAUUUUUUGUCCUAUGUUUUUUUGAUGUUUGUGUUUUUACAAACAAAAAAACAAUAUUGGUGUUGUUGGUUAAUGUUGAUGUUCUUAUUGGUAUGUUGUGUUGUGUUGCUGGGUUGAUUUGUUGUUUGUGGGUUGUUGUUGUUCUUGGUAAAAAUGGUGUAUUGAUAUUAAAUAGUGAUAUUGUUAUUGUUCUAUUGAAUAAAAUAUUACAACUGGUUUGUUUGUUUUCAAUAGAUGAACCAUCUAUUGCAUCAAAUAAACCAUCUGUUGCAAUAGAUAAACCAUCUGUUAUAUUAGAUAAACCAUCUUUUACAACAAAUGAACCAUCUGUUGGAUAAAAUUCUAAUAGCUAUUCAAAUAGAUGACCCGUGUAAGACUUUAAUUUCUUCCAACAAAUUAUUUAUCUUGUAACGCCCAGAAUCUAGUACCCGAAAUGCUACACGAUGCUCAUGAGCCCGAAGGACCACAAGCUAACCCAUGACUGAUUACUGUACCUGUAAACUACAUAACAUACUGAAUAUAAUGCGGAAAUAGAGUCUAAAAGGCCAUAAGGUUCAAACUACAUAACUGAUAAAAUAUAAUAUUUGUGUGGGGUAAUAGAAUACCCAAGCCUGAAAUACUGUCUGAACAUACUGUAGUUUGAAAAGCCUCUAAAACAUGACUGUAUGGAUAAGGAGUUGAUGGGACAUAUCCCUAACUAACUCUGACUACUGAAAUAACUAAGUACUAAAAUAAUGAAAUAACAAAUCAUAUCAUCCUCGAAGAAUGAGGACUCACUGCUGACUGAUGAUGAUAUAUGGAAUCUACUGAUGCUAUGGAGCUCGUGUCUCUGAACCUAUGGUAUAAAACACCAUAGCGCGAAUGCGUCAUUACAAUUGAAUGUACUGGUUGCAAAUUAGGUAGGCUGGAUUCAUGGGGUUCAUAUGCAUAAACAAUACUGACUAACUACCUAACAUAAACGUGAGUACACAUAUAUGGAUACAUAGUAACUAUAUCUAAGAUCGUGAUAACAUAAAUUUUACUGAUAACUAACAUGAAUGAUGACUAGUUUUGAUGACUGAUAUUACUGAUAACAUGAGUGAUUGUAUCUGAUAGUCUUGAAUCUGAAGGAACUAGCUGAGUUUCAUACUGUAGCUGAGUUGACUGUAUCUGACAAUCCUAGAAUCUGAAGAACUAUUUGAAUUCUUUGAAACUAUGGGAGGUAGUCAUCUAACUGACAUGCCCCAAAUGACGUAUUAUAGCUGAAUUGGAGUCUAAUCUGUGCCCUGAUUGGAAGGGUGCCAAUACCACACUAUUGGUAAGGGAAACAUAUGAGUGACCCUCAACUAGCAGAUUACUCUAAUGAGAACGGUGGGAACCCUUGACUAGUAGGUUAAGCCACCUUAUUUACCCUCAAAUAACAGGUAUGAUGUCUUCACCUACGCUGGCUACAUAGUUGUGGAAAGAAAGAAUUGCUUCUAAGAAUCACACCCUCUACUGGCAGGUGAGUUCCCAUCCUUGGGUGCACUCGGUGCUAAUUCAUACUCCCAUCUAAAUAGACACUGAACAUGAUUAAUUGAACUGGACUAAACUUAAUUCAUGAAGUUCUAUUGUCUGAUGGAAUACUACUGAGAUUACUAAAUUACUGAGCUUUCCUGAGUUACAUAACUGACUGAGUUCUAUGGAUCUUGCCUCGACUGAAGAUAUCAUGAAAACAUGACACUGGCCCUACGCACACAACUAUAUCUUUUGGGUAUAAGUACCCUCAGGACUCGAUAGAAGGAUACUGAAAAAGCAUGACUUUCUUGAAUACAUGACUCACAUUAACUAUACAUAGGAUGAUAAGUUGGGGAUUUUAUGAAGUACAUGGUUAUCAUAUUAUCUAACAUGAACGAGAAUGCUUUUAAUCAUAUCAUAAUCUCAUGUUCUAAUAUCAUGGGCAGUCCGACAAUAUAUAUAUUUCACAAUGAUAUCAUGGAAACCAUUUAAACAUAAGAAGAUGACAAGCAUGUCACAUUUAGUUCAGGUUUGAGCUAUAAGGCAUAAUUUCUGUUCUUUCAAGUAUUUUAACAAACACCUUGCAUGCAGAAUUUUGGGCAUAGGUAAAAUUAUCAAAUUUCACAUCAUAAGCAACUUAAUUCAUGGGUUUUAUCUUGCAUGCUAACUUAAUAUUAUGAAAAACACAUAAAGAUUUAAACUUUGAAUUAAUUAACAUCAACAUCAUGGUUACAAAUAACCCACAACAUAAAUACCAUGAUUUAUAGAUAAAACAAGGUUCUUGAGCUUUAUGGAUGAAAGGAAUCCAUGAAUCAACACAACGCAUACCUUGUUUCAUAAAUACACAAAGAUUAACGGAGGAAAUUCUUGAUUUUGAAUCUUCUAUGAAAAGCCCUAAGUUGUUCUUCAGAAGUUUUUGAGAGAAGAGUGUAUAUUUUGGUGUAAAUAGGGCUUAAUCCCAUUUUUUUACUUAUAUAGAGGUGUGGAAAAUGACAACUUUGCCCUAAAAUGCUGAACUGGAUGCUGAAAAUUUUGGCAGCAUACGAUGGAGCGUGCGUCGUAUGCUCUAGUCCACUGCACUGGAGCAUGUGUUACAUGCUCUAUCUCAUGCUAAGACCAGUGAGAUGGCCAUGAGAUGCAUGAUAAUCGCAUGGUGCUACUGUUUCAAAUUCCAAACAUGCCCUAAAUAGAUUCUAAAAAUUCUAAAACUCACCUGAAACGUACUAUUGACUUGUCCCAUCAUAACGCUACUUGAAAAUUGAAAAACGAAGGUCGAGAAGGUCAUCAAAUAAAUCCCCGAAGUUUGAAGGCUCAAAUGAGACUAAGUUUUGAACACUUAGCUAACAUAUUCUAAGUGAUGGACCUUGCAAAGCUUAAGGAGAUGAAUUUUAGACUUAGAAUUUUAUGGGGUCUUACAAUAUCUCCCCCUUGGAAACAUUCAACCUCGAAUAAAGACUGACUAAGAGGGGGACGAAGAUCACUAAGGUGAAUAUAGAGCAUACACUACUGAAAACAUGAGAUCUUGACUGACAUAACUGAUAAUCUAAACCCAUCAUACUGAGCAUGCAUAUCUAAUGCAUGACUGAUAAGCUGAAUUCAUACAUAUCUGAUGUAUGGAUAUCUGAUUCAUGAAUGCAUAACUGAGUGUUCUUAUGAACUAAGUUUCUCGUAAUGAGAAUUCAUGUCUGAUGCAUAAUUACAUAACUGAACUAAUACGUGAAUACAUGACUGAAUAUGCAAUGGUACUCAGUACCAAGUUUGUAUUGGACUUAAACAUAAAACUGAAUAAGCUUAAGGAAAACUGUUACCUUGAGCUGAGUCUGAGUUAGUAGAGAAAAGGUGAUGGUACUUGGUGCACAUGUAUGCUUCUGAUUUCCAAGUAUCUCCCUCAACGGACUGAUUCCAACAAAGAACUUUGACUAGAGAGACUUCUUUAUUCCUCAGUCUAUGAGUCUGAUAGUCUAGGAUUUUGACUGGAAUCUCUUCAUAAGAGAGGUUGCUCUGAAUAUCUACGCUCUGAAUAGGCACUAUAAAUGUUGGUUCACCUACUAAAUUCUUGAGAAAAGAGACAUGGAAGACUGGAUGAACUGAGGCUAGACCUGAAGGCAACUCAAGCUCAUAAGCUACUUUGCCGAAGUGAGUAAGAAUCUUGAAGGGACUGAUAUAUCGGGGACUGAGCUUUCCCUUCUUUUAGCUCUGAGCAUCCCGAAGUCUAUCUCUGAUCAACUAGACUUUUUCUAACUCAUUGAAUACCAAGUCAGGCCCUAUGACUGAGGCCCUACUAACUUUGAACCAACUGACUGGAGAUCUGCAUCUCCCACCAUAGAGAGCUUUGAAUGAGGCCACAUGAAUACUGGAAGGAUAGUUUUUGUUGUAUGCAAACUCAAUCAAAGGCAAGUGGUCAUCCCAACUUUCCUUGAAAUCAAUUGUACACGAACAUAGCAUAUCUUUCAAAGUUUGAAUGGUCCUUUUUGCUUGAUUAUCCGUCUGAGGACGAAAGGCUGUACUGAAAUAAACUUGGGUACCAAGACCCUUUUGGAAUGAUUUCCAGAAGUGAGAGGUAAACUGGGUACCUCGAUAUGAGAUUAUAGAUAAUGGAACACCGUGUAAUCUAACCAACUCCCUGAUGUAGAGUUUGGCAUAAUCCUCAGCUAAGUAAGAGGUAUGAACUAGAAUAAAAUGAGCUGACUUGGUCUUCCUAUCUACAAUGACCCAAACCAAAUCAUGCUGACAACGAGUUCGAGGCAAACCCAUCAUGAAGUCCAUGUUCAAUUUAUCAUACUUAUAAGUAGGAAUAAUUAACUUCUGCAUAUGACCACCAGGCUUCUGAUGCUCUAUAUUAACCUGCUGACAUGUAAAGCACAUAGCCACAAACUCUGCAACAUAUCUCUUCAUCCUACUCCACCAAUAGAUUUCCCGUAAGUCACGGUAUAUCUUUGUCGCCCCUAGAUUAAUAGAGUAGCGUGCACCAUGCACUUCUGUAAGAAUUCGCUGCCUUAAGUCAAUUACACCUGGAACACAGAGACGGCCCUGAUAAUGUAAAACACCAUAUCCCCCUUAGGAUAAAACCUCUACUUUCUGAUCCUUGACUGACUCUUUCAACUUGACAAGGCUGGGAUCUCUAUCUUUCUUUUUUUUCACCUCAAAAACUAGAGAUAAUUUUGAACUACCCUAGACCCAUAUGUUGCCCUCCUCUUUAUCGACUAAGCGAACGCCUAGUCUGGCAAGCUGAUGGACUUCCUGAGUUAGCUUUUUUUUACUAUCCUCAACAUGAGCAACACUACCCAUAGAUAGUCUACUGAUAGCGUCAGCCACAAUAUUGGCCUUGCUUGAAUGAUAAAUGACACUCAUGUCAUAAUCUUUCAAGAGCUCUAACCACCUUCUCUGAUGAAGAUUGAGAUCUUUCUAAGAAAAAACAUACUAGAGAAUCUUAUGAUCUAUGAACACAUCUACAUGGAUGCCAUAUAGAUAAUGCCUCCAAAUUUUCAGGGAAAAUACUAUGGUUGUUAACUCCAGAUCAUGACUAGGAUAAUUCUUCUCAUAGGGCUUUAACUGUUUGGAGGCAUACGCUAUGACCUUACCAUGUUGUAAGAGGACACGACCCAAACCUACUCUGGAUGCAUCAUAAUACACCACGAACCCAUCUAUACCAUCUAGAAGAGCUAAGACUGGAGCUAAGGUGAGUUGACUCUUCAACUCCUGAAAACUCUUCUCGCAAGGAUAUGACCACUGAAACUUGACUUUCUUCUGAGUCAAUCUGGACAUAGGGGAUGCAAUAGAUAAAAAUACUUCAACAAACCAUCUAUAAUAACCAUUCAAACCCAAAAAACUCCUGAUAUCUAAUGGAGAGAUAGGUCUGGGCCAGUUUCUUACUACUUUAGUCUUUUGAGGAUCUACUUGAAUGUCAUCACCGGAAAUGAUAUGGCCAAGAAAUGCUACUGACCUUAGACAAAACUCGCAUUUACUGAAUUUGGUGAAUAGCUAAUGAUCUCUAAGAGUCUGAAGUACUGUCCUGAGAUGUUCUACAUGAUCACUCUCACUGCGGGAAUAGACAAGGAUGUCAUCCAUGACUAUAUGUCCAAGUGCUGCUUGAACACAUAGUUCAUCAAGUCCAUGAAAGCUGUUGGGGUUUUUGUAAGACCAAAGGACAUGACUAGGAACUCAAAGUGACCAUACCGAGUAUGAAAAGUUGUCUUUGAAAUGUCACAUUCUCUAACUCUAAGAUGAUCAUAGCCGAAUCUAAGGUCUAUCUUAGAGAAAUAGCUGGUACCCUAAAGUUGGUCAAACAAGUCAUCGAUUUUGGGAAGAGGAUACUUGUUCUUGAUCAUUACUUUAUUAAGUUGACAGUAAUCAAUGCACAUUCUGAGAGAACCAUCUUUCUUGUUCACGAAUAAGAUUGGUGCACCCCACGGGGACACACUGGGUCUGAUGAACCCUUUAUCUAGGAGGUCCUUCAACUACUCUUUCAAUUCUCUGAGUUUUACUGGUGCUAUUCUAUAUGGCAGAAUAGAUAUAGGCUGAGUAUCUGGAAGAAGAUUAAUGUCAAUGUCUAUUUCCCUUUCGGGAGGAAUUCUUAGAAGAUAUUUGGGAAAGAUAUCUGAAUAUUCAUUUACAACUAUCACUGAAUCAAGGCUGGGAUUUUCAGAACUAGAGUCCUUGACAUAAACAGGAUGAUAGACACAUCCCUUAGAUAUCAUUUUCCAUGCUCGAAUGUAGGAAACAAGCUGACCUCUGGAAGCUAAAAUACUACCCCUCCACUCUAUGAUGGGUUCAUUCGAGAACUUGAACUGGACUAUUCUAUUUUUGCAGUCGAUUGUGGUAUAGCAGGAAUCCAGGUUAAGAAUGACAUCAAAAUCAGUCAUCUCUAAUUUGACUAAGUCUGUUGUAGUGACUUACUAAAAUAUCAUAAUAGGCCAGUUCCUAUAUACCUACCGAGCUAUGAUGGUUUUACCCACUGAGGUAGAGAUGGAAAAUGGCUCUACUAGAAUUUUUGGACUGACUCCAAUAUCAACUGCUAUAUAGGGAGUAACAAAAGACAAAGAAGCUCCUGGAUCUAGCAAAGUGUAAAUAUGCACAUAAAAGAUCUGUAAUGUACCAAUAACCACAUCAGGAGAAUUUUCCUGAUCUUGCCGGGACUGGAGAGCAUAAAGUCUGUUUGGGCGCUGCCCACUAGUAGCACUGGAAGUGGCAGCCUGGGGAUUUGGGCGACUGGAUUGAGCUGAGGAACAAUUCUGAUGACCUUGAGAACCUGGCUGAGGACAGUCCCUAACUCUGUGGCUUGGCUUCCCACACCCAAAAUAAGUAUCACUGUCAGCUCUGUAAGUACCCUAAUGUUUUUUGCCACAAGUCUGACAAAGAGGAUUGGUGCGGGCACUGCUAACACUGCCUUGAGACUUAGAGCCUGGUGCUCUAUCUCUGUUGCCAUCUUUGAAUUUCGACACCAGAGCAAUAGCUAAAGAAAGAGCUGGAGCUGAUAAGUUAGGAAAAAACUGAGAACGAUUUCCUCCUUCUGAUUUGGGCUGAGCAAAGUUGAAACUACCUAUCCUUGCUCUCUUAUUCUGCUUCUCGCUCAUCUUAAUCUUCUUCUCUUAUAUCUGCUGAGCAUGAGUCAUGACCCUAGCUAUAGUCAUAUCACUAUUCAACAUUGCAGACCUGCAGUCAUUCACCACACUAUCCUUUACCCCUGAAACAAACUUACUCAUCUUGGCCUUGCUAUCUGCAACCAUAUGAGGGGAAUAUCUGGAUAAUUGAGUGAACUUAAGAGACUACUCUUUCACCGUCAUGUUUCCCUUCCUGAGGUUGAUAAAUUCUAACACCUUAGCUUCUCUCAACUCUAGGGGAAAGAAUCUAUCAAAGAAUACAGUGACAAACUACUCCCACUCAAUAAGCCCUGCAUCAUCUAGCCUUUCUGACUUCCACUACUUGUACCAAGUAUGAGCAACAUCCUGUAACUGGUAUGCAGCUAAUUCAGCACUCUAAGUAGGAGUAACCCCCAUGAUGUCUGUAACCUUCUGAACCUGAUCGAUGAAUUCCUGAUAGUCCUCAUCUAUCUUAGACCUGAGAAAGGAUGGAGGAUUUAUUUGGGUAAAUUCUCGAAUCCUAGAUGCAGUUGAAUUGACCACUGGGUUGGCUAGAACGACAGCUAGUCAUUCAUUCUGAGCAGCAAAGGACUGAGAAAGAGUAGUGAAUGUAGUUAUGAACUCUGCAUGAGAAACAUGUUCAUCCAAGAGAUCUUCUUGGACAAGUUGGUUUCUUCUCAUGGGAGGCAUAUUUUGAAAUAAAGAGAAAAAAUAGAUUAGACUAAGAGAUUGACUUGAUAUUAUGCUCACAGGCACGAUUACUGAAAGAAGGGAAACUGUUCCUAAACAUCUCGUAGCCUCAUGCACAUAAAUAUGGCAUGCAACACACCCAUGUAUAAUACUUUACUAGAUGCAACUUUCAGACUUUCUAGGACUCGAUUGAACCUUAGGCUCUGAUACCAAGUUUGUAACGCCCCUGAAUCUGGUACCCAAAAUGCUACAUGGUGCUCAUGACCCCAAAGGACCACAAGCUAACCCAUGACUAAUAUCUGUACUUGUACACUGCAUAACAUACUGAAUAUAAUGCAGAAAUAGAGACUGAAAAGCCACAAGGUUCAAAUUGCAUAACUGAUAAAAUAUAACAUCUGUGUGGGGUAAUAGAAUACGCAAAACUGAAAUACUAUUUGAACAUAUUGUAGUCUAAAAAUCCUCUAAAACAUGACUAUCUGGAUAAGGAGUUGAUGGGACAUGUCUCCAACUAACUCCGACUACUGAAAUAACUAAGUAUUGAAAUAAUGAAAUAACAAAUCAUAUUAUCCUCAAAGGAUGAGGAUUCACUGCUGACUGAAUAUUGAUAUCUGGAAUCUACUGAUGCUCUGGAGCUCGUGUCUCUAAACCUAUAGUAUAAAACACCAUAGCGCGAAUGCGUCAGUACGAUUGAAUGUAUUAGUAUGUAAAUAAGGUAGGCUGGAUGCAUGGAGUUCAUAUGCAUGAACAAUACUGACUAACUACCUAACAUGAAUGUCAGAACACAUGCAUGGAUAUAUAGUAACUAUAUCUGAGAUCGUGAUAACAUGAACUUUACUAAUAACUAACACGACUGAUAACUGAGUUCUGAUAAUUGAUAUAACUAAUAAUAUGAGUGACUGUAUCUAGCAGUCCUGAAUCUGAAAGAACUAUCUGAGUUUCAUACUAUAGCUAAGUUGACUGUAUCUGACAGUCCUAAAAUCUGAAAAACUAUCUGAGUUCUAUUACUGAGACUAAUAUUGAAACUAUGGGAGGUAGUCAUCUAACCGACAUGCCCCAAAUGAUGCAUUAUAGCUAAAUUAGGGUCUAAUCUAUGCCCUGAUUGAAAGGGUGCCAAUACUGCCACUGGUAAGAGGAAUAUGUGAGUGACCCUCAACUAUCAGAUUACUCUAAUAAGAAUGAUAGGAACCCUCGACUAGUAGGUUAAGCCACCUUAUCUACCCUCAACUAGAAGGUAUGAUGUCUCUACCUAUGCUGGCUACAUAGUUAUGGAAUACAAGGAUUACUUCUAAGAAUCACACCCUCUACUGGCAGGUGAGUUCCCAUUCUUGGGUUCACUCGGUGAUAAUUCCUACUCCCAUCUAAAUAGACACUGAACAUGAUUAAUUGAACUGGACUAAACUUAAUUCAUGAAGUUUCAUUGUUUGAUGAAAUACUACUGAUAUUACUUAAUUACUGAGCUUUCCUGAGUCACAUGAUUGACUGAGUUCAAUGGAUAAUGCCUCAGCUGAGGAUAUAUUGAAAACAUGACACUGGUUCUAGGCGCACAACUAUAUAUUUUGGGUACGAGUACCCCCAGGACUCGAUGGAAGGAGACUGACAAAGCAUGACUUUCUUGAAUACAUGACUCACAUUAACCAUACAUAGGAUGAUAAGGUGGGGAUUUCAUGAAUUACAUGGUUAUCAUAUUAUCUAACAUGAACGAGAAUGCUUUUAAUCAUAUCAUAAUCUCAUGUUCUAAUAUCAUGGGUAUUCCAACAAUAUAUACAUUUCACAAUGAUAGCAUGGAAACCAUUUAAACAUAAGAAGAUGACAAGCAUGUCACAUUUAGUUCAGGUUUGAGCUAUAAGGCAUAAUUUCUAUUCUUUCAAGCAUUUUAACAAACACCUUGCAUGCAGAUUUUUGGGCAUAGGUGAAAUCAUCAAAUUUUACAUCAUAAUCAACUUAAUUCAUGGGUUUUAUCUUGUAUGCUAACUUAAUAUUAUGAAAAACGCAUAAAGAUUCUUACUUUGAAAUCAAUUAACAUCAACAACAUGGUUACAAAUAACCCACAACACAAAUACCAUAAUUUAUAGAUAAAAUAAGGUUCUUGAGCUUAUGGAUGAAAGGAAUCCAUGAAACACAAUGCAUACCUUGGUUUAUAAAUAUACAAAGAUUAAUGGAGGAAAUUCUUGAUUUGAAUCUUCUAUGAAAAGCCUUAGGUUGUUCUUGAGAGGUUUUUGAGAGAAGUGAGUAUAUGGAUUCCAAAAAUUUUGAAAUGCCUGGGACAUACUAUUGACUUGCCCUAUCAUAACGUAACUUGAAAAUCAAAAAACGAAGGUCGGAAAGAUCAUCAAAUUGAUCUCCGAAGUUCGAAGGCUAAAAUGAGACUAAGUGUUGAAUACUUAGCUAAAAUAUUCUAAGUGAUGGACCUUGUAAAGCUUAAAGAUCUGAAUUUUAGACUUAGAAUUUUAUGGGGUCUUACAUAUCUAUUGCAACAAAUGACAUAUCUAUUAGAAGAAAUCUAAAUAAUUUGACAAUAGUUCCAAUAGAUCACUCAUCUACUGCAAUAGAUGAAUCAUAUGUUACAUAAAUCAAUCAUCUAUUUCAACACAUGAGUGAUUUAUUGGAAGAAAUCACAACAGUAUUAAAACAAUUUUUAUUGUUUCCAACAGAUUAAUUUGUUGGAAUUAUUUUAUUUUACUAUGUUGUACUUGUUAGAUCUGCUGUUAUCCUUUCUUUAACAAUGCAUUAACAAUUAUAAUCUUUUUUAUUUUCUCUUAUUUUUAGAUAAUAUGGCUUCCAAAAGAAAAUAAAGCGAACCAAGUCCAAGUAAAGGAAUAAGUGAAGCAGCUAGACUACAUCCACCACUCUAUGAACUUAUUGUACAAGCGAUAUCUCAAUCAAAAGCAGAAAAAAAUGAACAUGAGGAAGAGGAAAGUUUCAAAAGAGAUGAUCCAAAUGGUAA